This 669-nucleotide ribosomal RNA is filed under the name Triticum aestivum (bread wheat). Its description in RNAcentral is "partial small subunit ribosomal RNA". The record is from RNAcentral. Lineage: Eukaryota; Viridiplantae; Streptophyta; Magnoliopsida; Poales; Poaceae.
AUGGCCGUCGCCGACGCGGUGCUUCCCUCACCGCCGCCCCCGCCGGCGCGGAUCGUCGUCGUGAUGCUGCUGCUCUUGCGCUUCGCCCGCGUCCUACGCGUCGCGGCGGGGGCCCUCACCUACGUGUGCUCGUCGGUCGCGUGUGUCUCCUCCGGGGCCGCGGCUGCGCUGCUCGUCGCGCACCGCGCCUGGGGCACGCGCUCCGGCCCCUUCCUGUUCCUCCAGGCGCUCAUGUACGGGGGUCUCAAGGUCUGCGUCCUCAGCGUCCUUGCGUCGUUCUCGCUUGCCGUCCUGAUGGUGUGCGUCCAGCGCGUGGCAUACGAGAUUGCAGUUCGAACUGGAUCCACUUCGGAAUACAAUAAGAGCCGCUUCAUACCAAUCAAGCGGGAGCCGCUUUCACACUUGUUUAGGCUUCCGCGCACCGCGGUGCUUGGAGUGGCCGUGGAUGUGGCUUUCUUCCUGCUAACGGUCGCUGGUCUUCUGGUAGCGACGAUGUCGCCGCACGUGGAGGGUUCGAAAUCUCAUGGUCAAAUGGCCGGUUCCGUGAUCAUGGAAGUGGGGUUAUUUGGUAUGCUUGUGACAGCUUGCUUUGUUACCAUCCCAGCGUUCAUUCUGCAUGCUUGGAGGAAUGACCAGGCGGAAUGGAAAGCACGGUCACAGUGCUGUUGA